Molecule: non-coding RNA, 204 nt
Organism: Pelobates cultripes (western spadefoot toad)
Lineage: Eukaryota; Metazoa; Chordata; Amphibia; Anura; Pelobatidae
Source: the annotation of a GenBank genome assembly
GGUAGAUAAGGGCCCUGCUCAAACGAGCUUACAGUGUAGAGGAAGUUAUGUAAGCCCUGAAAUUAUGCCGGCACACAAACAGAGUGGGUGGGCAGUGGGUCCCUCUCAUCGGCAGGUCCCUGUACCCAACUACUCAUGUAGCCCUUUCCUGUCAGACCGUGGUCCCCUCCAUGUGUCUCGGUCCCAUACCUGCCCCUCCUUGUG